AGAGUUUGAUCCUGGCUCAGGACGAACGCUGGCGGCGUGCUUAACACAUGCAAGUCGAACGGUAAGGCCCUUCGGGGUACACGAGUGGCGAACGGGUGAGUAACACGUGGGUAAUCUGCCCUGCACAUCGGGAUAAGCCUGGGAAACUGGGUCUAAUACCGAAUAGGACCACAGGACACAUGUCCUGUGGUGGAAAGCUUUUGCGGUGUGGGAUGGGCCCGCGGCCUAUCAGCUUGUUGGUGGGGUGAUGGCCUACCAAGGCGACGACGGGUAGCCGGCCUGAGAGGGUGUCCGGCCACACUGGGACUGAGAUACGGCCCAGACUCCUACGGGAGGCAGCAGUGGGGAAUAUUGCACAAUGGGCGAAAGCCUGAUGCAGCGACGCCGCGUGGGGGAUGACGGCCUUCGGGUUGUAAACCUCUUUCACCAUCGACGAAGGUCCGGGUUUUCUCGGGCUGACGGUAGGUGGAGAAGAAGCACCGGCCAACUACGUGCCAGCAGCCGCGGUAAUACGUAGGGUGCGAGCGUUGUCCGGAAUUACUGGGCGUAAAGAGCUCGUAGGUGGUUUGUCGCGUUGUUCGUGAAAUCUCACGGCUUAACUGUGAGCGUGCGGGCGAUACGGGCAGACUUGAGUACUGCAGGGGAGACUGGAAUUCCUGGUGUAGCGGUGGAAUGCGCAGAUAUCAGGAGGAACACCGGUGGCGAAGGCGGGUCUCUGGGCAGUAACUGACGCUGAGGAGCGAAAGCGUGGGGAGCGAACAGGAUUAGAUACCCUGGUAGUC
RNAcentral lists this ribosomal RNA (782 nucleotides) under uncultured bacterium. Its description in RNAcentral is "bacterial SSU rRNA". It matches the Rfam family "Bacterial small subunit ribosomal RNA", at positions 8 to 795 of the family's 1533-position model. The record is from RNAcentral.